Long non-coding RNA from Branchiostoma floridae (Florida lancelet), 316 nucleotides. RefSeq lists it as uncharacterized. The record is from RefSeq and is a predicted model, not a curated record. The transcript has 3 exons. NCBI's taxonomy places the organism in Eukaryota, Metazoa, Chordata, Leptocardii, Amphioxiformes, Branchiostomatidae.
AGAAGUGCCAAAUGACGAUGAUGACUACGAAGACGACUUUGCGAGCCAAAGCCAGAGUCAGAGCGGCGCCCACUCUGUGAGUGAGGAGAUAGAAGAGGAAAUCUCCAUCGAGGCAGACGACUUACUCAACGAUAGCCAGGAAAAGUUUGAUGACUUGACAGAGGACAGAACAGUAUCGCAGGCCAGCGUUGGCGGGUUUGACUAUGCUGAGGACGUCCAACUGUCAUUAACACCUUAGUAAUGGUUUAUCGGACCAGUGGUACAGUUAACGCUAGUUCACCUUUAUCCGUUGGGUAACCUAUAUCCGUUGCUUUUA